UAAGGUGAUUAUAGCGUAAGGGUUCCACCUCUUCCCAUUCCGAACAGAGAAGUUAAGCCUUACUGCGCCGAUGGUACUGCAUGAUUGUGGGAGAGUAGGUCGUUGCCAUCU
This 111-nucleotide ribosomal RNA is filed under the name Porphyromonas gulae. RNAcentral also lists the same sequence under 4 other names. Lineage: Bacteria; Pseudomonadati; Bacteroidota; Bacteroidia; Bacteroidales; Porphyromonadaceae. The record is from RNAcentral.